UAGAGUAUGAUAGAGAAAGUAGAGUUCUAGUGUAGAGUGAAAUUCGUAGAUAUUAGAAAGAAUACCAAUUGCGAAGGCAGCUUCUGGAUCAUUACUGACACUGAGGAACGAAAGCAUGGGUAGCGAAGAGGAUUAGAUACCCUCGUAGUCCAUGCCGUAAACGAUGUGUGUUAGACGUUGGAAAUUUAUUUUCAGUGUCGCAGGGAAACCGAUAAACACACCGCCUGGGGAGUACGACCGCAAGGUUAAAACUCAAAUGAAUUGACGGGGACCCGCACAAGUAGUGGAGCAUGUGGUUUAAUUCGAAGAUACGCGCAGAACCUUACCAACACUUGACAUGUUCGUCGCGACUCUAAGAGAUUAGAGUUUUCGGUUCGGCCGGACGAAACACAGGUGCUGCAUGGCUGUCGUCAGCUCGUGUCGUGAGAUGUUGGGUUAAGUCCCGCAACGAGCGCAACCCUCACUUUUAGUUGCCAUCAUUAAGUUGGGCACUCUGAAAGAACUGCCAGUGAUAAGCUGGAGGAAGGUGGGGAUGACGUCAAGUCCUCAUGGCCCUUACGUGUUGGGCUACACACGUGCUACAAUGGUAUCUACAACAGGAAGCAAAACUGCGAAGUUAAGCAAAUCCCUAAAAGAUACCUCAGUUCGGAUUGCACUCUGCAACUCGAGUGCAUGAAGCUGGAAUUACUAGUAAUCGUGGAUCAGCGUGCCACGGUGAAUGCGUUCCCGGGUCUUGUACACACCGCCCGUCACACCAUGGGAGUUGGUUCUACCUUAAGGCAAGGUUUUAAACCCUUGACCACGGUAUAGUCAGCGACUGGGGUGAAGUCGUAACAAGGUAACCGUA
RNAcentral lists this ribosomal RNA (847 nucleotides) under uncultured bacterium. Its description in RNAcentral is "bacterial SSU rRNA". It matches the Rfam family "Bacterial small subunit ribosomal RNA", at positions 642 to 1504 of the family's 1533-position model. The record is from RNAcentral.